CGGGACGUAGCGCAGUCCGGUAGCGCACCUGAAUGGGGUUCAGGGGGUCGCGGGUUCAAAUCCCGCCGUCCCGA
This 74-nucleotide transfer RNA is filed under the name Betaproteobacteria bacterium RIFCSPLOWO2_12_FULL_66_14. RNAcentral's name for it is "tRNA-Pro". It matches the Rfam family "tRNA". Rfam says of the family: Transfer RNA (tRNA) molecules are approximately 80 nucleotides in length. Their secondary structure includes four short double-helical elements and three loops (D, anti-codon, and T loops). The record is from RNAcentral. RNAcentral also lists the same sequence under 20 other names. Lineage: Bacteria; Pseudomonadati; Pseudomonadota; Betaproteobacteria.